AGUGAACGCUGGCGGUAUGCCUAACACAUGCAAGUCGAACGGCAGCACAGUAAGAGCUUGCUCUUACGGGUGGCGAGUGGCGGACGGGUGAGGAAUACAUCGGAAUCUACUUUUUCGUGGGGGAUAACGUAGGGAAACUUACGCUAAUACCGCAUAUGACCUUCGGGUGAAAGCAGGGGAUCUUAGGACCUUGCGUGAUUGAAUGAGCCGAUGUCGGAUUAGUUAGUUGGCGGGGUAAAGGCCCACCAAGGCGACGAUCCGUAGCUGGUCUGAGAGGAUGAUCGGCCACACUGGAACUGAGACACGGUCCAGACUCCUACGAGAGGCAGCAGUGGGGAAUGUUAGACAAUAGGCGCAAGCCUGAUCCAGCCAUACCGCGUGGGUGAAGAAGGCCUUCGGGUUGUAAAGCCCUUUUGUUGGGAAAAAAAAGCAGCAGGUUAAUACCCCGCUGUUCUGACGGUACCCAAAGAAUAAGCACCGGCUAACUUCGUG
This 492-nucleotide ribosomal RNA is filed under the name uncultured bacterium. RNAcentral describes it as "partial 16S ribosomal RNA". It matches the Rfam family "Bacterial small subunit ribosomal RNA", at positions 29 to 507 of the family's 1533-position model. The record is from RNAcentral.